AACGAACGCUGGCGGCAUGCCUAACACAUGCAAGUCGAACGAGACCUUCGGGUCUAGUGGCGCACGGGUGCGUAACGCGUGGGAACCUGCCCUUAGGUUCGGAAUAACUCCCCGAAAGGGGUUCUAAUACCGGAUAAUUUCUUCGGACCAAAGAUUUAUCGCCUUUGGAUGGGCCCGCGUUGGAUUAGCUAGUUGGUAGGGUAAAAGCCUACCAAGGCGACGAUCCAUAGCUGGUCUGAGAGGAUGAUCAGCCACACUGGGACUGAGACACGGCCCAGACUCCUACGGGAGGCAGCAGUGGGGAAUAUUGGACAAUGGGCGAAAGCCUGAUCCAGCAAUGCCGCGUGAGUGAUGAAGGCCUUAGGGUUGUAAAGCUCUUUUACCCGGGAUGAUAAUGACAGUACCGGGAGAAUAAGCUCCGGCUAACUCCGUG
Molecule: ribosomal RNA, 433 nt
Filed under: uncultured bacterium
Lineage: Bacteria
Description: partial 16S ribosomal RNA
Rfam family: Bacterial small subunit ribosomal RNA
Source: RNAcentral